AAGUUGCAAAGCACUUUGAAGAGAGAGUUAAAGAGGACGUGAAACCGGUGAGGAGGAAACGGAUAGAGUCGGCGUAUCUUGCAAGUAUUCAAUUACUUUAUUAUUGUGUUGUUAUCUCUGAGCUCCAGAUUGGGACAGAGGAAAGCAGCAUGAUUUWAUGUGAUGCAUUUACUUGUYUGGUGUGUGGGGGUAUCUAAGAUGGAUUUGCAACCAAUGUUUUGAGGCCAGCUUGCUGGUACCCAAACAUUGUUAACAUUUUUUAUCUUGGAUAUUCGAGUACGGCUUACGUGCAUUUUUUGUAUUGAUCUAAGUGCAAGUUACGGUCGCAUGCGACACGUGCUUUUCAUUUAGUUCGGUGCAGUUAAUGCUCUCGUACUCUCCCCCCAUGUAAAAGCCGGUCAUCUAUUUGACCCGUCUUGAAACACGGACCAAGGAGUUUAUCGUGUGCGCAAGUUUUUGGGUGUUAAAAACCUAGAAGCGAAAUGAAAGUAAAUGAUUCUUUAGAGUCUGAUGUGCAAUCUUUUUUCAGAAAAGUGCAUCAUGGCCCCAUUCUAACUGUUUACAGUAGGGUGGCGGAAGAGCGUACGCGGUGAGACCCGAAAGAUGGUGAACUAUUCCUGAGCAGGACGAAGCCAGAGGAAACUCUGGU
Molecule: ribosomal RNA, 649 nt
Filed under: Meloidogyne hapla
Lineage: Eukaryota; Metazoa; Nematoda; Chromadorea; Rhabditida; Meloidogynidae
Description: partial large subunit ribosomal RNA
Source: RNAcentral